UCUGGAUUAGUACAUCGGCUAGUAUAACCGCCUUUCAUUACGUAAUCAAUUAGCGUACGCGGUAGAGCGGGGUUCGAUUCCCCGAUCCAGAA
Non-coding RNA from Papiliotrema laurentii, 92 nucleotides. The record is from the annotation of a GenBank genome assembly. NCBI's taxonomy places the organism in Eukaryota, Fungi, Basidiomycota, Tremellomycetes, Tremellales, Rhynchogastremaceae.